CGCAGGGCGCCCGGGGCAGCUGGCCGAGCCCUCGAUGCCUCCCGUCUGACGGAGGCGCCCGGGAAGCGCCGCCCACCUCGGCCCCGCACCCUCGCCGGCCUGCCGGGUCUCCGCCAGCCCUAGCAGACAGAGAGGGGCGCCGGUCCCUAGUCCCCCAGACCUCCAUUCAAGGUCAAAACUUUGCCCAGCUCAGCCUUGCUCGACCCUGGGCAGGGAAGCGCGGACAUCGGCAGAGGGAGCCCGAGGCUCUCCGUGCCCUUCGCGCCGCUCCCCAAGGAUGGAUAACACUAACAUAUAGUCAGUGGGAAAGAAAUCUCAGAAAAUAACUGUUAGUUUGUCACUGUCAUGGGAAAUGGGAAGGAAGAAAAACAGCACUUAUCAAGCAUCUUCUGUGUACAAACUGCCAUUUCAGACUCAGAGCAGUCCUUGAAGGUCAAGAACUGUGGAAUCUUUCAGAUGAUAUUCUGAUACUUCUGGACCAAGAUUGAAUUUGUUCUUCAUGAAAAAUGUCUGGGACCUUUUAUAUGGACGGGGAAUACCAACGUAGAGAUGGUCAAGAAAAUUUGCGCUCCGACCUAAACCAAGCACGUUGUAUGGUAGUUGGAGAGCUAAAUGUGGGAGGAGCCAAGAUGGCCGAAUAGGAAAAGCUCCGGUCUACAGCUCCCAGCGUGAGCAACGCAGAAGACGGGUGAUUUCUGCAUUUCCAUCUGAGGGUGUACUCCAUCUACUUUUAAAAACAAAAAGUUCACUGUAAAACAGCCUCAGGUAGGCCGUUCAGUAGGUAUUCCAGAAGAAGGUAUUGUCAUCAUAGGAGAUGGACAGCUCCAAGGGUGUUUAUUGCCCCUGAAGACUUUCUAGUGGAACAAGAUGUGGAGGUGGAAGACACUGAUGUUGGUGAUCCUGACUCAGUGCAGGCCUAAGCUAAUGUGGGUGUUUGUGUCUUAGUUUUUAACUAAAGGUUUAAAAAGUAAAAAUAAAACA
RNAcentral lists this long non-coding RNA (981 nucleotides) under Homo sapiens (human). RNAcentral's name for it is "HSALNT0385623". The record is from RNAcentral. Lineage: Eukaryota; Metazoa; Chordata; Mammalia; Primates; Hominidae.